This is a long non-coding RNA of Perognathus longimembris pacificus (Pacific pocket mouse), 457 nucleotides long. RefSeq lists it as uncharacterized. The transcript is spliced from 3 exons. The record is from RefSeq and is a predicted model, not a curated record. NCBI's taxonomy places the organism in Eukaryota, Metazoa, Chordata, Mammalia, Rodentia, Heteromyidae.
CUCACAUCUCAGCCUUCUGAGCUGCUAGGAUGACAGGUAUGAAACACACCUAGGUAAGAUAAAAUUCAUACUGUGGCAAUUAUAAUAUUUUCUUUUCAGUGGAAAAAAAAGAGACUAAAUGGUAUUCAUAUUCAGGAAUUACAGUAACAAUCCUCAAGCAUAUUAGUAAACUUGUACAAAUUGUUAGCUUUAGAUUUUAAUUUAAAAAAUCACAAAUUCACUAAGACAUAAUGAGAAAUUUGAAUUUUAUAUUUUAAAAUAUGUGGCUUCUUCCUGCAUCAAAUGCAUAUAAGGAAUGAAUUCUCUAUGAGGCUUUUAUAUGAUCUAAAAACAGUAACAAGAAUAAAAUGAGCUUAAUAAUUUCUGAUCACAAAAAAAUCCUCUAUUCUCUUAAAAACUACAGGAUUUGGGCUGGGAAUAUGGCCCAGUGGCAAGAGUGCUUGCCUCGUAUACAUGA